UCCCUGGUGGUCCAGUGACUAAGACUUUGUGCUUCCAACGUAGGGGGACUGGGUUCAAUUCCUGGUCAGGGAA
Molecule: transfer RNA, 73 nt
Organism: Ovis aries (sheep)
Lineage: Eukaryota; Metazoa; Chordata; Mammalia; Artiodactyla; Bovidae
Rfam family: tRNA
About the family: Transfer RNA (tRNA) molecules are approximately 80 nucleotides in length.
Source: Rfam